Molecule: ribosomal RNA, 253 nt
Filed under: uncultured archaeon
Lineage: Archaea
Description: partial 16S ribosomal RNA
Rfam family: Archaeal small subunit ribosomal RNA
Source: RNAcentral
UACCUGCAGCCCAAGUGGUGGUCGAUUUUAUUGAGUCUAAAACGUUCGUAGCCGGUUUGAUAAAUCCUUGGGUAAAUCGAGAAGCUUAACUUUUCGAAUUCCGGGGAGACUGUCAAACUUGGGACCGGGAGAGGCUAGAGGUACUUCUGGGGUAGGGGUAAAAUCCUGUAAUCCUAGAAGGACCACCGGUGGCGAAGGCGUCUAGCUAGAACGGAUCCGACGGUGAGGGACGAAGCCCUGGGGCGCAAACGGG